Molecule: long non-coding RNA, 743 nt
Filed under: Durio zibethinus
Lineage: Eukaryota; Viridiplantae; Streptophyta; Magnoliopsida; Malvales; Malvaceae
Description: long non-coding RNA (DZIB_LNC002387)
Source: RNAcentral
AUCCACCAUUAUCGUAAGAAUCAAGCACUCACAAAGAAACCCAAUUCAUACAGCUAAUUCAUCGGCAAUGAACACCCCAACCCAAGCAAACACAAUCACAAACCCAAAAAGCUCCAUAAUAACACAAAAAGCAUAAAGCAACAAGAAACUAAACACAAAGAAGCAAGGCAACAGAGAACCAAAAUUCAUUCAUCACAAGAUGGCAAUCAUUGCUACAACCCAUCACUAUCGAGACUCACUAGGUUAUGCACAAAAAAUCAUUAGCCCUUCACUACAAAGGCUAAACCUAGCCACCGUCAUUAACUCUUCAUCAAAUAACAAACAUAUAAUUAGCAAAAUAGAAGGGGAGUAACAUAACUUGAAGUGGUGGCCGUACGAACAGUGGAAGGGAAGUUCUUGGAGAAGGUAACUGUAAUCUUUGGACCCCGAUCCACAUGAAUCUAUCAAGUUUCAAAGGAUAUCAACCUCGGAUUCGAGACGAGAAAGCCAAAAGGAGGCUCAUAGUGAGUUUUGGGUGUCAACGAAAGUCAAUCGAUAGUGGCCAAUGGUGGAGUUUGGUACGCGAUGUGGUGAUCACUCAUUGAUUUCCAGAUUUUUCUGAACGUUCGUGGUUACUUUUAAAGAGAGAGGUAGAGAAACUUGCUUUUAGAAAGAGAAAGGUAAAAAAUGAAAAUGAGGACGAGCUUGAAAAUGAGGUUUUAUAGUGGUGGUAAAAUGACAUUGUUUUAAAAAAAAUUAAGAAA